UGUAAAUCAGUUGACAUUAAAUAUAUUUUUAUUGGUGAGGAAGUCAGAAGAGAACUUGUGGGAGUCAUUUCUCCCCUCCACCAUGUGGGUUCUAGGGAAUGAACUUGGGCUGUCAGACCCAGGGUAUGUGCCUUUACCCUCUAAAGCCAUCUCACCAGCCCACAAGCCAUUUCAUUUUAGAUAGUGAGGAUUGUCCAAGUGGGAACACUACAAUCGCUAGAUCCUGAGAUGUGUCAGGACAGUGUGUGCCAGAGAGAGAGAUAAAGUUAUUGUGUGUGCAUUUAUCAAAACAGCUAAGCAAUCCUUUCCCUCUAAAAUAAAAACUAUUCUCAAAACAUGAUUCCCAUGAACAUUUAUUUAUUAAGUCUACACAAGGUAAAGGCAACGCCUGACACAUCAAUCCUAUCCAGAGCCACUUCUUCCGCACUCUUCCUUCUUUGUUGGGAGCAUCUCAGACUUCCAUUGUUUUCUACAAUGACACACUAUCCAGAAGGCUACCAGUGGGCUUGUUUCAAAGUUGGAGUCUUCUCAGAACGUUGAGGAGACUGCAAUGAUUGCCUCAGCAAAUGGAACCUUUACUCUGCUGUCUAAAUUAAAAUUAAAAUAAAUAAAACGAGUUACCAAGAGAACCUCAAAGAUCUGGCCCAUCUUUAGUCAUUAGACAUUUUGAACUUGGGUGUGGAUUUUAUUUCUCUAAGUAUAAUCCCUUAUCCUCUCUUGUCUUCCUGUGUCUUACAUGAAAAAUUUAAGCACUAGCUGCUAGCCAUUCUGUUGUUAUAAGCAAUAAUAAUAGAGAAUUGAAAAACAAAAGUACAAAAAGAACCAAGAGGGUCUAGAGAGACGGCUCAGCAGUUAGCCACAGAGGCUGCUCUUCAAAUGGACCCAGGCUCAAUUGCAAGCACCCAAAUGGCAGCUCAUUGGAGUCUGUAACUCCAGUUCCAGGGGCUCUGGCACCUUUUUUCUAGCCUCUGUGGGUACCAGGCACAUACAGGGUGAACAGACAUACAUGCAGCAUAACACCCAUACACAUAAAAUAAUAAUUUUUAAAAACAUUUUCAAAGCCGGAAGAGAGGGCAUAUUAAAACAGAAAUUGCUGAUUCAGCAGAGCUUUGGGGUUUUUCAUGGAAUAAUGCAAUCUAUGUGUUAGACAGUGGUUUGACUAAGAGUCCGUGAGUUGGACUGGGUUCCACACCCUAGAGAGACAAAUGGAAAUUUAUGAGUACUCAAGGGAGAAAGAAUUUGUGUCCUGUCAUAAGUGUACACGAGGCCCCAGAUCCUUAAAUAGAAAAGGCCUGCGUGAAGGAAUAAUUUCCUUUUUGUUUUUUAUUUUAUUUUUAUUUACUUUGAGAUGGGGGUUUUGCUCUGUAGACCAGGCUGGCCUGGAACUAAGAGAUUCAGCUGCCUCAGAUUCCCAAAGUUCUCAGGUUAAAGAUUUGUGCCACCAUUUCUGUCCAUGCUUGCAAUUUAUCUCAGCUUUGGGGAAGGCGUUAAAUGUGGAGUCCAUUCUGAAGGAACUAAAAUUAGCAUCAAAUAGGACAACAAAUCUCUAGAGAGGCAUCAGGGAUAAAAGAGAAGAGACUUACAAAGUCAAGAUUUCGAGUGAAGGUGGGGGUCCCGCCUGCAAUGAGAUACAGAAAUGGUUUCCAUUCACUUUAAGUAUCAUUCACUCAUGCUACCAACAUUUGUCUUAGAGGAAGAAAACGUGAAAUUUUAUGAGCGCUUCACUAAGUGCUAGACAGAAAGAUGUGAAAAUGCAGAGGGUAUAGCGGCUCACACCUUUAAUCCCAGAACCCAGGAGGCAGAGGCUGGCAGAUCACUGUGAGUUCAGGGCCAGCCCAGUGUUCAUAUCAAGUUCCAGGGCUGGAGCAACAUAGAAAGACCCUGUCAAUAGAUAGAUAGAUAGAUAGAUAGAUAGAUAGAUAGAUAGAUCAUAUAAAUGAGAGUGCCAAAGAGAUCCAUUGAUUAACUCAUGAAGUCUUGAAUCCCCUUUGCUUUUGUUGAGUCCAAAUAUAAAGGACGUUUACACUUAUCAAAAUUUUGAGCCGGAUACUGUCUGUCUGUAAUAUAUUGUAUCCACUGCAAUAGAAAAGGGGGUGAUUAAUCCUAUCUUCCUAACCACAUUUCCAAGCCCAUGGAUACCCAAGGAGCUAGCCCUCUAGAGCUGCCCAGGGCUUGUUCCUUAGAUCAGGUGACUGACAACAAGCUUUGUUGUCACCAACAGGUGUCUUCUGUUGAAAAUAUUCCAGGAAAGUGGAAUACAUAUUCCUCGAGUUUCAAAGAACUUUUGGUAAAAUUCACUCCACCUUAAAGAUCAAAGCAGCAACUUUCCCAACUGGAGUAAAUACAGGACCUCUCUCAGCAGUGAGACAGAAGAAAAGGGCAUGGAGAGGAAUGCCAGCAAUUUUAAAGAUAGACUGCUCCUACCUGGGAUCUCAGUGGUUUCUUCCAGGAAAAUGGUGGGGACUGUCUCAGCCUCAAGAGUAGAUACUAGGAAGACAGAAUGGAAGACAGGGCUGGUCACCAGCUGUGGAGGAAAGCACAAGAUGGGGACAGAAACACCAGUCCAGACCUCCAGAAACCACACCCUCACUUACCAGAAAUCUGUGUGCUGUUGUCAUACUCUUCUGUGAAUGACAUGAAGUCCAGAGAGAGCUUAAAGUCAGCAGUUGAAUCAUUGUGUUUGUCAUUGUGUCGUUUAUCUUUUACCUCUUUCUCAAUUGGUGUGGGUAGAUUAUUGGUUGACUUUAGCAUGGCAAUGAUUAAAUUCAGUCGUUCUUCACUUUCAAUAGCUAAAUUUAGUAGUUCUUCAAUGGAUGAGCCUAAUGGGUCAUAGAGGAUUGGUUCUGAAAGGUAAUUGGUUGAGUCACCUUGGUUAUAACUAGUUGGAUCUAAUUGAUUCUGGUAGGUCUUUACUAGUAGAUUCUAAAGGUAAGUAGUGGAUUCUAAAGAAGUCCAACAGGAAAGAACAGCUCAAGUCUUUUCCAGUAAGCAUGUUCUCGGCCCUCUGUUCAAAGGGAAGUAUAAUGUGGCUGCUGUUGUGUGGUCUCACCACAGUCCUGUUCCCCAGCUAAGUUCCUGGGCUGACUGCUUCUCAGAGCAACGUGACAAGAGCCCACUCUUGCUUUCUUUAAGGGGCCAGUUGAGGAAAGAGCAUCUGUAUUAUACCACUGUCCAUGUGCUGGUCAGACUGAUGCAAAAGAAGAAGUUAAGACUCACUUCUAAAAUCCCUCCAGAUUUCUGAAAUCUACUAGUGGAUCAAAUGUAAAGAAACCACUGGUCCUACAAGAAUGGAAUGAAAGGUAACAUGUUCCAUUACACUACUUUUUACUUAAUGCCCUGUGUCCAGGCCCCAUUUUCAGCACUUCCCAAAACACUCACCCCUAAUGUCGUAGGGCUGGUGACCUACAGAACCCUCACAGCCACAUGGUCUACUGUGCACAGGGAACUUAUCUCACCAUGGCAGGAACUGUCACCAGCAUCACUGUCUCUCUCUCUGCUUCUCACUGGGCUUCAUCUCACAUGUGUGUGGAGUGGGGAAGCCCACCCAUCAGCCCAGACAGUGAGAGUCAUCUGACAGGAGCAUGUGAAGGGAACAUGUCACUUUCACUCAGCUGGGUGAGCAGCUCUCCUAAGAAACUGCCUGAGUUCAGAAACAACUAGAACAGAAAGCUUUGGGAUUGGAAGUUCCUUUUUCCCUCUGGCUCAUAAGGACAUUAUUUCUUUCCUUACUGAACAUGGUACAAGUUUCCAUCCCAGCCCCACACAGAUCACAGUCUGUGACAGAGCUGCCUGCCAAUGCUCUCAGACAUGACUGAAGCUCACUGUGUUGAGGCACCCACAACUCUUCACCCUAAUUCAACAGAAUCAUAUCACCUCCUUGACACCCAGUGAGGAUGGGACCAUCAGAAAUAUCUCAGCCAUUCUGCCCUGGUCCCAUCUGACCAAGCUUGUUAACUCUAUGUGGUUAAUUCAAACUCACAACCAAAUCAUAGAACAGCUGCCAUUCUCACCUAAAACUAUCUUGACGAAUUAUCUGAUUUCUCCUUAAAACUUUUGCUACAAAUCAAUACCUCCCACACCAUCUCACACAAACACAUGAUCACACACUUCAACUUCCUUCUCCAAAGGAUUCCAAGCUACACAUACCUUUGUUCACUCUGGGGAAAGCCAUACCCAGAGCACACAAGAUAGAGAUCACCAGAACCUUGGAGAGCAUCAUGCUUCCUCAGGAUUGAGGCAACCAGCAAGCAGGGGGAAGGAAUUAGUCCAGGAAGAGCUCUGCUGGGCUUUUAUGCAUUCCUCUACCCUGUCCCUGAGGGUGGUUUUCCACAGUUGGCUGGAGGAGAAAAAAAAAAAAAAGAGGGG
Molecule: long non-coding RNA, 4365 nt
Filed under: Cricetulus griseus (Chinese hamster)
Lineage: Eukaryota; Metazoa; Chordata; Mammalia; Rodentia; Cricetidae
Description: lncRNA (ENSCGRG00015033922.1)
Source: RNAcentral